Molecule: ribosomal RNA, 774 nt
Filed under: uncultured Neocallimastigales
Lineage: Eukaryota; Fungi; Neocallimastigomycota; Neocallimastigomycetes; Neocallimastigales
Description: partial large subunit ribosomal RNA
Rfam family: Eukaryotic large subunit ribosomal RNA
Source: RNAcentral
UAUCUCUGUAGAGUCUGCAUAUCAAUAAGCGGAGGAAAAGAAACUAACUAGGAUUCCCUCAGUAACGGCGAGUGAAGCGGGAAGAGCUCAAAUUUGAAAUCUUCAAGGUUCUACCUUGACGAAUUGUAGUUUAAAGAAGUGUUUUCUGUUAGAGUUUUGGUAAAAGUUCUUUGGAAUAGGACAUCAUAGAGGGUGAGAAUCCCGUAUUUGACCAUUAUUUCCAGCUUUGUGAUACACUUUCAAAGAGUCGGAUUGUUUGGGAAUGCAGUCCAAAAUGGGCGGUAAAUUUCAUCUAAAGCUAAAUAUUGGCGAGAGACCGAUAGCGAACAAGUACCGUGAGGGAAAGAUGAAAAGAACUUUGAAAAGAGAGUUAAACAGUACGUGAAAUUGUCAAAAGGGAAGCGUUUGACACCAGUGUUGUUUUCUCGAAAAUCAAUUAAAAAAAGUUGGAUUUUGUAUUGUUAUGACCUUAUCAGCUUACUGUACUCUUUUCUUGUCUUUUUUAAUGCACUUUUCGUUUAACAAGUCAACAUCGAUUUCUUUUGUUGUAAAAGGGUCAUUGGAAGGUGGCUUUCUUUUCGGAGAAAGUGUUUAUAGCCUUUGGCCUCUGCAAUCGGAGAGAUUGAGGUCUGCAGCGUAGAUCCUUCGGGGUUAGAUACAUUUGUGCUAAGUUAUAGCCUUUCAUAGACAACUUGUUGACUAUGAUCAGUCAUGUAGCUUACUCGCUUAUGCUAUUUUACCUACGCUUAGGAUGUUGACGAUCAGCUGAGCGCG